Long non-coding RNA from Myotis davidii, 720 nucleotides. RefSeq lists it as uncharacterized. The record is from RefSeq and is a predicted model, not a curated record. Lineage: Eukaryota; Metazoa; Chordata; Mammalia; Chiroptera; Vespertilionidae. The transcript has 3 exons.
UUCUGCUUCUCACAGUCAACUUGUUGCCAUGAAUGUCUUUGUUCAUAACACCUCUCCUUGGUCCAGGAGUGUUAUUGCUGCACCCAAAUGUAUGAACACGGCCAGGCCCUUGACUCGUCUCCCCGAGUUGUUUACAAAAGGACUGUACCAAUUUACACUUCCACUUACAAAGGAUAAGAGCGCCGCUAUUACAGUGUUUAAAGGCAGCGCUUUUCAGAGCUCGUAUACAAUCAUUGGCUAGGGCUGGCUUAUGUUUGUAACCAUCUCAGAAUAAAUAAAGACACAUUUUCCUCCAGCCCUGCAAACACGGCAUGCGCAGACGGCCAAACAACCGCAAACUAACUUUGAUUAGAAGAGAAACCGGUCUAUUUGAAAAUGUGGUAAUGAGAUAGUUUCCACCCCCCGGGAAGCCGUCCUGGCGGGGGAGGGGCGCUGCGUUCCUUCUGGCCUCUCUUCCCAUCCUCAAGAAGGUAGAAAUGAACAGCAUUUCCCCCCAAUCCCAGCAUCCUCUCUGAGGGCGUGGCCGGAGAGGGCACACUAUAUUCCGGAGACUUGGAGCUCAGCCAGUUCACUCUCGGGCCUCGCUUGGAGAGGAUGCCCAUCGGACUCCCGAAGGCCGGCGGUCUCCCAGCCCCCUGAGGAGCCACCCAGAUCCUGGUCUGGAUCUGUGUCUUCACCUGUGCAGUCCUCCUGGACUAGCCCAUUUAACAUCAUCCCCAC